RNAcentral lists this ribosomal RNA (942 nucleotides) under Bacillus stercoris. RNAcentral describes it as "bacterial SSU rRNA". It matches the Rfam family "Bacterial small subunit ribosomal RNA", at positions 401 to 1337 of the family's 1533-position model. Lineage: Bacteria; Bacillati; Bacillota; Bacilli; Caryophanales; Bacillaceae. The record is from RNAcentral.
GAGUGAUGAAGGUUUUCGGAUCGUAAAGCUCUGUUGUUAGGGAAGAACAAGUACCGUUCGAAUAGGGCGGUACCUUGACGGUACCUAACCAGAAAGCCACGGCUAACUACGUGCCAGCAGCCGCGGUAAUACGUAGGUGGCAAGCGUUGUCCGGAAUUAUUGGGCGUAAAGGGCUCGCAGGCGGUUUCUUAAGUCUGAUGUGAAAGCCCCCGGCUCAACCGGGGAGGGUCAUUGGAAACUGGGGAACUUGAGUGCAGAAGAGGAGAGUGGAAUUCCACGUGUAGCGGUGAAAUGCGUAGAGAUGUGGAGGAACACCAGUGGCGAAGGCGACUCUCUGGUCUGUAACUGACGCUGAGGAGCGAAAGCGUGGGGAGCGAACAGGAUUAGAUACCCUGGUAGUCCACGCCGUAAACGAUGAGUGCUAAGUGUUAGGGGGUUUCCGCCCCUUAGUGCUGCAGCUAACGCAUUAAGCACUCCGCCUGGGGAGUACGGUCGCAAGACUGAAACUCAAAGGAAUUGACGGGGGCCCGCACAAGCGGUGGAGCAUGUGGUUUAAUUCGAAGCAACGCGAAGAACCUUACCAGGUCUUGACAUCCUCUGACAAUCCUAGAGAUAGGACGUCCCCUUCGGGGGCAGAGUGACAGGUGGUGCAUGGUUGUCGUCAGCUCGUGUCGUGAGAUGUUGGGUUAAGUCCCGCAACGAGCGCAACCCUUGAUCUUAGUUGCCAGCAUUCAGUUGGGCACUCUAAGGUGACUGCCGGUGACAAACCGGAGGAAGGUGGGGAUGACGUCAAAUCAUCAUGCCCCUUAUGACCUGGGCUACACACGUGCUACAAUGGACAGAACAAAGGGCAGCGAAACCGCGAGGUUAAGCCAAUCCCACAAAUCUGUUCUCAGUUCGGAUCGCAGUCUGCAACUCGACUGCGUGAAGCUGGAAUCGCUA